Long non-coding RNA from Schistocerca piceifrons (Central American locust), 175 nucleotides. RefSeq lists it as uncharacterized. The record is from RefSeq and is a predicted model, not a curated record. The transcript is spliced from 3 exons. NCBI's taxonomy places the organism in Eukaryota, Metazoa, Arthropoda, Insecta, Orthoptera, Acrididae.
CUCUUCAAUGCUCUUCCACCUGAAAUAAAGACAGAGAUUCAUAACAAGAGUAGAUUUUGGACAGCUGCUGUUGUCUAUCAUGUCGAAAUCAGAGCAGGAACAAAGUUGCACCUGCACCCAAGACCUGGCAAAUCUGCUGCCAGUUCUUAUACAGUUCACCACAAGGUUGGAAAAC